RNAcentral lists this ribosomal RNA (858 nucleotides) under Ralstonia pickettii. RNAcentral's name for it is "bacterial SSU rRNA". It matches the Rfam family "Bacterial small subunit ribosomal RNA", at positions 153 to 1009 of the family's 1533-position model. The record is from RNAcentral. Lineage: Bacteria; Pseudomonadati; Pseudomonadota; Betaproteobacteria; Burkholderiales; Burkholderiaceae.
GAAAGAUUAGCUAAUACCGCUUACGACUGGAGGGUGAAAGUGGGGGACCGCAAGGCCUCCUGCCAUAGGAGCGGCCGAGGUNNGAUUAGCUAGUUGGUGAGGGUAAAGGCCCACCAAGGCGACGAUCAGUAGCUGGUCUGAGAGGACGAUCAGCCACACUGGGAUGAGACACGGCCCAGACUCCUACGGGAGGCAGCAGUGGGGAAAUUUUGGACAAUGGGCGAAAGCUGAUCCAGCAAUGCCGCGUGUGUGAAGAAGGCCUUCGGGUUGUAAAGCACUUUUGUCCGGAAAGAAANGGCUCUGGNUAAUACCGGGGUCGAUGACGGUACCGGAAGAAUAAGCACCGGCUAAUACGUGCCAGCAGCCGCGGUAAUACGUAGGGUCCNAGCGUUUAUCGGAAUUACUGGGCGUAAAGCGUGCGCAGGCGGUUGUGCAAGACCGAUGUGAAAUCCCCGAGCUUAACUUGGGAAGUGCAUUGGUGACUGCAGGGCUAGAGUGUGUCAGAGGGGGGUAGAAUUCCACGUGUAGCAGUGAAAUGCGUAGAGAUGUGGAGGAAUACCGAUGGCGAAGGCAGCCCCNUGGGAUAACACUGACGCUCNUGCANGAAAGCGUGGGGAGCAAACAGGAUUAGAUACCCUGGUAGUCCACGCCNUAAACGAUGUCAANUAGUNGUUGGGGAUUCAUUUCCUUAGUAANGUAGCUAACGCGUGAAGUUGACCGCNUGGGGAGUACGGUCGCAAGAUUAAAANUCAAAGGAAUUGACGGGGACCCGCACAAGCGGUGGAUGAUGUGGAUUANUUCGAUGCAACGCGAAAAACCUUACCUACCCUUGACAUGCCACUAACGAAGCAGAGAUGC